Molecule: ribosomal RNA, 489 nt
Filed under: uncultured bacterium
Lineage: Bacteria
Description: bacterial SSU rRNA
Rfam family: Bacterial small subunit ribosomal RNA
Source: RNAcentral
GAUGAACGCUAGCGGGAGGCCUAACACAUGCAAGCCGAGCGGUAGAGAUUCUUCGGGAUCUUGAGAGCGGCGUACGGGUGCGGAACACGUGUGCAACCUACCUUUAUCUGGAGGAUAGCCUUUCGAAAGGAAGAUUAAUACUCCAUAAUAUAUUGAUUGGCAUCGAUUGAUAUUGAAAGCUCCGGCGGAUAGAGAUGGGCACGCGCAAGAUUAGCUAGUUGGUGAAGUAACGGCUCACCAAGGCGAUGAUCUUUAGGGGCCUGAGAGGGUGAUCCCCCACACUGGUACUGAGACACGGACCAGACUCCUACGGAGGCAGCAGAGAGGAAUAUUGGUCAAUGGGUGCAAGCCUGAACCAGCCAUCCCGCGUGAAGGACGACUGCCUACUGGUUGUAAACUUCUUUUGUAUAGGGAUAAACCUACCCUCGUGAGGUAGCUGAAGGUACUAUACGAAUAAGCACCGGCUAACUCCGUGCCAGCAGCCGUCGG